GUGUCAGCCGCCGCGGUAAUACGGAGGUGGCAAGCGUUGUUCGGAAUUACUGGGCGUAAAGGGCGCGUAGGCGGCUUUGCAAGUCAGAUGUGAAAGCCCCGGGCUUAACCCGGGAAUUGCAUCUGAAACUGCUUAGCUUGAGUUCUGGAUGGGGUAGUGGAAUUCCCAGUGUAGCGGUGAAAUGCGUAGAUAUUGGGAGGAACACCUGCGGCGAAGGCGGCUACCUGGACAGUGACUGACGCUGAGGCGCGAAAGCUAGGGGAGCGAACGGGAUUAGAAACCCUCGUAGUCC
RNAcentral lists this ribosomal RNA (292 nucleotides) under uncultured bacterium. Its description in RNAcentral is "partial 16S ribosomal RNA". It matches the Rfam family "Bacterial small subunit ribosomal RNA", at positions 505 to 796 of the family's 1533-position model. The record is from RNAcentral.